GAUGAACGCUGGCGGCGUGCCUAACACAUGCAAGUCGAGCGAACGGACCAGAAGCGCUUUUCUUUGUGGGUAGCGGCGGACGGGUGAGUAAGGCGUAGAUAAGCUUCCACUACGACCGGGGUAAUGUCGUGAAACCGCAUCAAAUCACAGCUAAUACUUCGUAAUGACCUGUUCAAGAGUGAAUUACGGACUACAUGCUUCCUUUAGACGGUGCCGCGCUGCAUUAGCUAGUUGGUAAGGUAACGGCUUACCAAGGCAACGACGCGUAGCCGACCUGAGAGGGUGAUCGGCCACACUGGAACUGAGACACGGUCCAGACUCCUACGGGAGGCAGCAGUGGGGAAUCUUCCGCAAUGGGCGAAAGCCUGACGGAGCAACGCCGCGUGAGUGAUGAAGGUCUUCGGAUCGUAAAACUCUGUUAUUAGGGAAGAACAUAUGUGUAAGUAACUGUCCACAUCUUGACGGUACCUAAUCAGAAAGCCACGGCUAACUACGUG
This 497-nucleotide ribosomal RNA is filed under the name uncultured bacterium. Its description in RNAcentral is "partial 16S ribosomal RNA". It matches the Rfam family "Bacterial small subunit ribosomal RNA", at positions 28 to 507 of the family's 1533-position model. The record is from RNAcentral.